This 215-nucleotide unclassified non-coding RNA is filed under the name Hevea brasiliensis (rubber tree). Lineage: Eukaryota; Viridiplantae; Streptophyta; Magnoliopsida; Malpighiales; Euphorbiaceae. The record is from RNAcentral.
AAAUCAAUUCGCAAAGCUUGGCAUAUUAUCACAUUAGAAAACUGAGUUAAGGAAAGGUCUAGAAAGCAAUUUGAGUUUUAUAAAAAGAAGCAAGCCCAUGAGUUUGGACUCCCAAUCACAAAUCAAGUAAAUAUAGGUGGUGGUGAAUUGUCGUAUAGUGUUAUCUCAUAUUGAUUUGAAAUAAAGUGUUGGUGCUAUAUAUAAAAUAUGAAUAA